GAUUAACGCUGGCGGCGUGCAUAACACAUGCAAGUCGAACGAUGAAACUUAACUGAUUUCUUCGGAAUGAUUUUAAGUGGAUUAGUGGCGGACGGGUGAGUAACGCGUGAGUAACCUGCCUUGGAGAAGGGGAUAGCCUUUGGAAACGAAGAGUAAUACCCUAUGAUAUGAUAAUAUCUCAUGAUAUUAUCAUCAAAGAUUUAUCGCUCUAAGAUGGACUUGCGUCUGAUUAGUUAGUUGGUGAGGUAACAGCUCACCAAGGCAGCGAUCAGUAGCCGGCUUGAGAGAGUGUACGGCCACAUUGGGACUGAGACACGGCCCAGACUCCUACGGGAGGCAGCAGUGGGGAAUUUUGCACAAUGGGGGAAACCCUGAUGCAGCGACGCCGCGUGAUUUAGAAGGCCUUCGGGUUGUAAAAAUCUUUUGUAUGGGAAGAAAAUGACAGUACCAUACGAAUAAGGACCGGCUAAUUACGUG
This 477-nucleotide ribosomal RNA is filed under the name uncultured bacterium. RNAcentral describes it as "partial 16S ribosomal RNA". It matches the Rfam family "Bacterial small subunit ribosomal RNA", at positions 28 to 507 of the family's 1533-position model. The record is from RNAcentral.